This 396-nucleotide RNase P RNA is filed under the name Nitrospirae bacterium 13_1_40CM_3_62_11. Its description in RNAcentral is "RNase P RNA component class A". It matches the Rfam family "Bacterial RNase P class A". Rfam says of the family: Ribonuclease P (RNase P) is a ubiquitous endoribonuclease, found in archaea, bacteria and eukarya as well as chloroplasts and mitochondria. Lineage: Bacteria; Pseudomonadati; Nitrospirota. The record is from RNAcentral.
GGAGGAGACCGGGUGGUCGCCCGCGGGCAGUUAGCCGCGGGAGGAAAGUCCGGACUCCAAGGGCAGGGUGCUGGGUAACGCCCAGGCGGAGCGAUCCGACACCGGCGCCACAGAGAAUAGACCGCCGAUGGCCGAGUCGAGGCGCGUGCAGGGGACGCAACGCACGACCUCAUCUCGGCUCAGGCAAGGGUGAAACGGCGGGGUAAGAGCCCACCGCGUCUCGUGGUGACAUGGACGGCACGGCAAGCGUCGCCCGGAGCAAGACCAAAUAGGAGGACGGCCGAGACGCGACUCGUUCUCGUCUCGGGGGUAACUCGAGCCCUAGAGAAAUGGCCGCCCCCGCCGUAGCGUCGCGCGAAGGCGGGACAGAAUCCGGCUUAUAGGUUUUCUCCAGCG